Talpa occidentalis (Iberian mole) is the source of this 643-nucleotide long non-coding RNA. RefSeq lists it as uncharacterized. NCBI's taxonomy places the organism in Eukaryota, Metazoa, Chordata, Mammalia, Eulipotyphla, Talpidae. The record is from RefSeq and is a predicted model, not a curated record. The transcript has 3 exons.
GUGUCCACAUGGGGGACAUCCCCUGAGAACUUCAUGUCUUUAUAAUCCACUCUCAGUACCCACCACAGACCCGCAGUGAACUUUGGUAGCCUUGUUUUACAAUGGCCAGACUUUGGUCCCAGACCUCUGAACAUCAUGUGUUCAUCUGAAUCUGAUGGUUUGCACACGAAGAUCUUCCUGUGUUCUCUGGAUUUUCUACGAACUUGUACCCAUGCCAAGGAAACACGACAAGUUAAAAUGAUACUGAAUAACUGAAAUGAAAACCCCUAAAUGUAUUUUUUACAGACAUUAGUUUGUGACUUGCAAACUCACGUCCGUGGGCUACAAGAAAGAGAGACCUUGGAACCUGCGCCAACUACUGCGCAGAGCUUCUCCAACAGAGUCUGUGCAUUUUUCCCUGGCUGGAUUCUUUUUACACUCUUCAGGAUUGACUGUCCUUUGCUUUCAAGCAGAAGGACAUCUGAUUUCUAAACAACCUCCAUGGAGAACACCACAGAUGUGACCCAGUACAUCCUCCUAGGACUGACCAAAGUCACAAACCUAAGAGUCCCUCUUGUAUAUUCACUCUUACAUAUGCCAUAAAUGUCAUUGGAAACCUGGGGAUGAUCUUGUUGAUUCUUUUGGACUCUCGUCUCCACACACA